GACCCUGUGGGGAGGUUUUUUGUUUUUUUAGCAAAGGUGGAAAUUUAUUGAAGAACAAGGACAGACUCCCACGUGGGGAGG
Molecule: microRNA precursor, 81 nt
Filed under: Eptesicus fuscus (big brown bat)
Lineage: Eukaryota; Metazoa; Chordata; Mammalia; Chiroptera; Vespertilionidae
Description: microRNA efu-mir-9218 precursor
Source: miRBase by way of RNAcentral